GCUCCCCGGCUUAUAUCUACACGCUUUAAUGAGAAAAAUAUGGUUGCUGAUUUUUGCUCCCAUGCACUCUGCAGUGCCAGCACAGCUCAGAGAGAAGGUAUACAAUCAGCUCCGUGUGCAAGAGUGUUAUGGCUAUUACUACAAUGGGUUCAACCUGGAAGAUGACGACAAAGAGCCGGGCAUCCCAGUCACAGACACCUUUUUCAAUGGCUUAUACUAUGUGCCUGUGGAUGUUACUCAUGACGGGGACGUCUAUGGUGUGUUCAGGGGGACUUGUUUAAACAAGAAUUUUUCAACUCACCUGAAGGACAGUUGGCAGCUCGAGUCGCCAUGGAACUGCCUGACCCCAUGACCCAGCAAAGACUUUUCCAGUACAAAGAAACAGUGACCUCCUCAUCACCUCUCCUCCCCCAUCUCUACUCAUGGCAGCAAGAUUGCUUGAAACACAAUAGGAGCAUCACUGAAGUGAGGGGAGUGGUCCUGGCCUGGAGGUUUUCCAGGCAGUACAGACUGUAGAAAUCUUUUGGGUGAGAGAAACCUUUUUACUUAUUAGCCUUGGUAAAGUUUAGGAAUUAGUUUGUGUGUUUAUCUAUUUCUCUCAUAAACUACUUUGAUUUAUAUGUCCUAUCACUUAAAAUCUAUCUUGUUCUAGUUAAUAAACUUGUUUUACUGUUUUAUCUAA
Emys orbicularis (European pond turtle) is the source of this 682-nucleotide long non-coding RNA. RefSeq lists it as uncharacterized. NCBI's taxonomy places the organism in Eukaryota, Metazoa, Chordata, Testudines, Emydidae. The transcript has 3 exons. The record is from RefSeq and is a predicted model, not a curated record.